This is a long non-coding RNA of Felis catus (domestic cat), 1321 nucleotides long. RefSeq lists it as uncharacterized. NCBI's taxonomy places the organism in Eukaryota, Metazoa, Chordata, Mammalia, Carnivora, Felidae. The transcript is spliced from 3 exons. The record is from RefSeq and is a predicted model, not a curated record.
CACAUACAGAAAUGGGCAACUGCUUUCUCUUUUAGCUUCUUUCUCCUUUUUCUCUUUUGCAUAGCUUUAUGGCUCUCACUGAAGGUGAAACUAGGAAAAUACUUCACCCAGAAGUGAGUCUAUAGGUGAUGAAAGUUAUAACAAGGCUCUAUUGUCUUUGGUGGAGGUGGGGAGCCCCGCAUGCCCUGGGCUCAGGCAUUAAGUACUUUUCUACCAAACACUCACACACCGGGCAGGUGUUUGAGGUGGGGUGGCCCCGGGGCAGUUGCUGAACAGGGUACACAAAAGGUUAGUGAGUAUAAUUACACUUUCAUAAAAAUGAAUGUUGGACUUCCUCCCCUGCUGCGUCUUAGCUACUGGGGCUAAAAUAAAUAUUUUAAUUAGUUUCAGCUUCCAAAAGAGUCUUAGCAGGCCAGACUUCCGAAUCUGCCUCCCACGGGGAAAACGCUUUCAAAUCCCACCAGUUGGCACCAAAUCCCUCCCAAACAAAAACCCAAAACCCAAAACCACAUUUCGAACUAAACAAGUCACUGCUUCUUAGAUAGACAGCUGCAGUGUGCACUGGGAGCUCGGCGUGACACAAUCUCGAGCAAAAGCAGAACCUCCGGGUCUUUUGUCAUUUACCACGAACUGCAGGAUGUUACCACCAAAGCACCGCAGAAGUCUUAGAACCCACCACCCUUUCAUUUGACGUUUCCAGAAAAAGAUAGGUGCGCCCCAGAGAGUUUAUGGCACAUAAAUAGGUAACAAGUUCAUAGUGGAUUCAAGAUAGAGAAACACUUCACAGAGAAUGCAAGAAGAAAGACUACCAUGUUGGGAGCCUCUGUUCACGGAAGAACUAUCAGAGGCAAUAAUGCGUGGGCCAAUUCUGGCGAAUGGCGAGCUGACUGUGGUACACAGACAUACAUGGUUUCUUUGGCCAGGACGGUGUUUUUCAAAGUCUAAGCGAGCUGCAGUGGCACCAGCUACUUUUGUAACGGUGCACGGCUACACCACAGGUCCCAGCUUCCCCAGCGUAGAGCAGGGACCACGAGACUGAGUUCUGCCAAUGGAACAUACGCUUCUGGGCAGUGUCAUGGCAAAUCCUUCCCCCAGUGUUCGAGCUGUACCCGCAGCUGGACGCACGGAGGGAAACUAGUGUAGCAGAUGUAGAUCCUCAUGAAGAAGAGAGCCUCUGCCCCUGAAGGAGCUGACAGGGUCUCCACCGUGACCUGCACUGGCUGUGAUGGGAGGGAACAUCAACACCACUGAGAUGUUGAGUUUGUGUGCGACAACCGUGUCUUUGUUUGGGUCCCUCUAAAAUUGGGUUAUGAGAUAUGGA